Molecule: ribosomal RNA, 119 nt
Filed under: Microtus ochrogaster (prairie vole)
Lineage: Eukaryota; Metazoa; Chordata; Mammalia; Rodentia; Cricetidae
Source: RNAcentral
GUCUACGGCUAUACCACCCUGAACGCGCCCGAUCUCGUCUGAUCUCGGAAGCUAAGCAGGGUCGGGCCUGGUUAGUACUUGGAUGGGAGACCGCCUGGGAAUACUGGGUGCUGUAGGCU